Molecule: long non-coding RNA, 1138 nt
Filed under: Equus caballus (horse)
Lineage: Eukaryota; Metazoa; Chordata; Mammalia; Perissodactyla; Equidae
Description: lncRNA (ENSECAG00000054717.1)
Source: RNAcentral
GGACUGGUCAGAAGAAGGAUCACCUGCUUCUGGACUGACCAGGAGUAACUGAAACAGUGGAAGGUGAAACCUCAGAUAAGGGGACUACUGUACUGUCAAGCAGGCUGAAGAGGUUCUCACAGCUUUUACUGCUUUAAAAGGUAAACACUUGGGAGUGGAAUGGCUGGAUCAUAUGGUAGUGGAUUGAGAAUAGUCACUUCAUUCAGGGAGGACGGAACACACGUGACAAUUAACAGCAUUAACCUCUACAGCAUUGGUCUGCAUUUCUGUUCAAAAAUUGACGCCUUCAAAAUGUUGAACCAAUCUGCUAGUAAUUUUAGAGGAAAGAAGCACGUGCUUAUUACAAAAAGAAAGUCUGUGGGUUCUUACAGAAGGCAUUAAAAUUGUUUCCAUCACAUGAUAUCAAAACAUAAGCAGAUUUGGAGACAACCCAGAAUGAUCACCUGGUGUUGAAGAUGAGGAAACCGAAGCCCAGGGGGACCCACACUAUGGAGAAGGUCACAGUAAAUCUGGAAAGAGUCACAUGAAGCUCAUCGUUCUGAACAUCCCAAUUCUACUUGUCAAGGAUGCCUGGAAAGAGACACUGAAGAGAACAGCACAGAAUAUGGAAACCCUGGAGAAGGGAGAACAACUUCAUUGCUAAGAUCAAAAUCAUCCUCGUUUUGAUAUAACCACCAUAAACUAGAAAAAAAAAGGGGGGUUUCAUCUAUACAAGAACUAAUCCUUGGGAAGUAAAUGUCAGUCCUCUGCGAGGACUGGUGGUUGCUUUUCUCUGCCCUUUGAUGUCAGCUUUCUGGGGCGAGGUGGCAGGACCCACAGUGAUGUCCGUUCAGACCACACAUUCCAACCCAGCCCAAGUCACAUGACUGGCGUGUUAGUGAGGUCAGUUUAGAUUAUUCUGGUUUUUGCGUAGCUGGGCAUCAGGUCCCUUGGUGGGGCUGCUUAAAUUGCUCCACCCCUGCAAAAUGCUGAAUGCCGUAUGAGGGGACCACCUGAUUGUCCAGCUCUGCUUCCCCAUGGGCAAAGAGCUGUAUGAAACACAUGCGGACCCUUAUCAGUGUUCCAAACUCUGCAAGGCUUGAAGUUGGUUUUCAAGCCACAGUUCACACAGAUUUAGUAAAAGCAGCCUACAUAGCUG